This 485-nucleotide ribosomal RNA is filed under the name uncultured bacterium. RNAcentral describes it as "partial 16S ribosomal RNA". It matches the Rfam family "Bacterial small subunit ribosomal RNA", at positions 30 to 507 of the family's 1533-position model. The record is from RNAcentral.
AUUGAACGCUGGCGGCAGGCUUAACACAUGCAAGUCGAGCGGGGAAAGGUAGCUUGCUACCUGGCCUAGCGGCGGACGGGUGAGUAAUGCUUAGGAAUCUGCCUAUUAGUGGGGGACAACAUCUCGAAAGGGAUGCUAAUACCGCAUACGUCCUACGGGAGAAAGCAGGGGACCUUCGGGCCUUGCGCUAAUAGAUGAGCCUAAGUCGGAUUAGCUAGUUGGUGGGGUAAAGGCCUACCAAGGCGACGAUCUGUAGCGGGUCUGAGAGGAUGAUCCGCCACACUGGGACUGAGACACGGCCCAGACUCCUACGGGAGGCAGCAGUGGGGAAUAUUGGACAAUGGGGGGAACCCUGAUCCAGCCAUGCCGCGUGUGUGAAGAAGGCCUUUUGGUUGUAAAGCACUUUAAGCGAGGAGGAGGCUACCGAGAUUAAUACUCUUGGAUAGUGGACGUUACUCGCAGAAUAAGCACCGGCUAACUCUGUG